UAAUGCAAUGCCUUAGCAAUUCAUUUGGGACAUUUGGACAUUAAUCCAAUAUUGAUUAAACUAAGAGUCUCUUCCUGCUUCUGCAGUCCCCUCAGAUCUUUCACCUGUCAACAUUUUUCUUCAACACAAGGCCUGUCUCUUUGGCCAGCGUGAACAGUGCAGAGUCCAAUAUUAGUACCUUUGUCUGAGAAAAAAUGCCCUAGGUGGGUAAAGAAGCUGAAAUAUCUGCUCCAGAAUGAAUAAUGUCAGGCGCUGUCCUAGCAGUUUCAGCUAAGCUCUGAAGAUGUGAUCUUGACAGAAGGCACUUGUAAACACUGGACAGUUUUGAGAACAUGACCCUAGGGUGCCUGCUUUUGCCACUGUCCACCAUUAAAAUGUAAAUGAGAGGAGAAAAGCAAGUAAAAGUCCAGCCUCACAUGGAUAGGACGUUACUCAGGUGUCCAGUUUCCCAUGUGUUGUGGCCUACUGACACAAGUCAUCGUCAGUAUUGGCUGCCACAGGACAAGGACAAAGAGAGAUGGAGGGAAUUACGUUCCCAGCUGAAAAAGGAAUGCUACCAGAAUUCAGUAAAAUUAAUAAAGAAUGCAACAGGGCUGUGAAAUUUUAGUUAUUCAAUCCAGUCAAAAAA
Molecule: long non-coding RNA, 628 nt
Filed under: Cyanistes caeruleus (blue tit)
Lineage: Eukaryota; Metazoa; Chordata; Aves; Passeriformes; Paridae
Description: lncRNA (ENSCCEG00000010542.1)
Source: RNAcentral